UAGCCUUUGUGGCAAACACUUGCCAAACACAC
RNAcentral lists this non-coding RNA (32 nucleotides) under Mus musculus (house mouse). The record is from RNAcentral. Lineage: Eukaryota; Metazoa; Chordata; Mammalia; Rodentia; Muridae.